CCUACGGGUGGCUGCAGUGGGGAAUAUUGCACAAUGGGCGCAAGCCUGAUGCAGCGACGCCGCGUGGGGGAUGACGGCCUUCGGGUUGUAAACCCCUUUCAGUAGGGACGCGGUACCUACAGAAGAAGGACCGGCCAACUACGUGCCAGCAGCCGCGGUAAUACGUAGGGUCCGAGCGUUGUCCGGAAUUACUGGGCGUAAAGAGCUCGUAGGUGGUUUGUCGCGUUGUCCGUGAAAACUCACAGCUCAACUGUGGGCGUGCGGGCGAUACGGGCAGACUGGAGUACUGCAGGGGAGACUGGAAUUCCUGGUGUAGCGGUGGAAUGUGCAGAUAUCAGGAGGAACACCGGUGGCGAAGGCGGGUCUCUGGGCAGUACUGACGCUGAGGAGCGAAAGCGUGGGGAGCGAACAGGAUUAGAUACCCUUGUAGUC
This 432-nucleotide ribosomal RNA is filed under the name uncultured bacterium. RNAcentral's name for it is "partial 16S ribosomal RNA". It matches the Rfam family "Bacterial small subunit ribosomal RNA", at positions 338 to 795 of the family's 1533-position model. The record is from RNAcentral.